This is an RNA transcript of Hevea brasiliensis (rubber tree), 1611 nucleotides long. It is a transcript of the gene named uroporphyrinogen-III synthase, chloroplastic, with no coding region annotated. The transcript is spliced from 10 exons. The record is from RefSeq and is a predicted model, not a curated record. Lineage: Eukaryota; Viridiplantae; Streptophyta; Magnoliopsida; Malpighiales; Euphorbiaceae.
UUUAUUAUGAUUUCUUUUUCGCCUUUCCGUUGAGAUAUUUUGAUUAAAAUAAUAAUUAUGGGGUCGGCUGCUUAAUUUGUUAACAUUGGGUAUGGGGUCUCUGUCCAACACGUCGCCGAUGGCACAACUCUCUCACUUCUGUCUUGCUCUUCUGCCUCCUUCAGCUUCGUCUGCUCCUUUUUGUCUGCAAUUUCACCCACGAAUUUCUUUUCCGACUCCGUCUUUUCAAAUUCGAGCAUGUUCUUCUUCGUCUUCAACUUCUAUUUCAGCUGCAAAGCCGAAAGUCGUCGUCACAAGAGAACGAGGCAAAAAUGGCAAGCUCAUUAAAGCUCUGGCCAAACAUGGUAUCAAUUGCUUGGAGCUUCCUCUAAUUCAGCAUACUGAAGGACCUGAUUUGGAUAGACUCCCUUCUGUAUUAAGUAAUACUUCAUUUGACUGGGUUGUCAUAACUUCCCCUGAAGCGGGUUCGGUGUUUCUGGAGGCAUGGAAGGCAGCUGGUACCCCAAAUGUUAAGAUAGGGGUUGUAGGAGCAGGUACAGCGAGCAUUUUUAAUGAAGUGGUACAAUCAUCAGGGCAAUCUCUUGAUAUUGCCUUUGCACCGUCUAAAGCAACAGGCAAGGUUUUGGCAUCAGAACUUCCAAAGAGCGAGAAUGGAAGAUGUACUGUGUUGUAUCCAGCUUCUGCCAAAGCAAGUAAUGAGAUUGAGGAAGGCCUGUCAAAUCGUGGAUUUGAGGUUGUGAGACUAAAUGCAUACUCAACAGUACCUGUUGAUCAUGUUGACCAAAUGGUGCUGAAGCAGGCACUUUUUUGCCCAGUCAUUGCAGUUGCUUCUCCAUCUGCAGUUCGUGCCUGGUUCAAUCUUAUUUCAGAAUCAAAGCAGUGGAAUAAUUCAGUGGCCUGCAUUGGUGAGACAACUGCUUCAGCAGCAAAAAGCUUGGGAUUGAAAAAUGUGUACUUUCCAACUCAUCCAGGUUUUGAAGGGUACUCCUCACUCAAUGUACCUGUUCUUUCUUGUGUCAAUCUCUCUGGAAUAUUGUUUACUGGUGGGUAGGGAGCAUCCUUGAAGCAUCGAGGGCACAUGAUAACUCCUAGAAGUUGAAAACUUUUCAGUUUCCAGCAAGUCCUCGUCAGGCUUACAAGGAGGUCUAAGGCACAAUAUCGAUGCACUUCCUAAAAUGUCAAGGGCUGCAAAAGCAGGUUGCAGGAUAGGAUAAAAUUAUUUCAAGCAGCAAGCAAAAAGGUGGCAAAUGUUUUGAUAUUUGGAGAGAUCAAGUACAGUCAUCACAGCUAUAUUUGAAAAUCAGUCUGAAGACCAUUGAGGUUGUCGCUGGAAAGAAAGCUAUUGAGAUGAUAUUGCCAGCAAGGAAGCCUCUCAAUUUGUAAUAUGCGUUUUUUUUUUUUUUUUUUUUUUAAUUUUUCAUUAUAACUCCAUAACAAUCAGUGCAUGUUUAUUAACACUGAAAUGGAAUAUUUGCACUCUUUAUCGAGCUGCUGACAAGAAGUGGAAAUUUUUAUUAGUGUUGUCACUUAUAUCAUUGUGUAUCAUAGCCAAUGAACACCUGAAGGCUUCUAAAGAUUUUGUGCAUGUUACUGGUGUUUCCAGUUUGUUAA